This 529-nucleotide ribosomal RNA is filed under the name uncultured ciliate. RNAcentral describes it as "SSU rRNA". It matches the Rfam family "Eukaryotic small subunit ribosomal RNA", at positions 357 to 972 of the family's 1831-position model. Lineage: Eukaryota; Ciliophora. The record is from RNAcentral.
GGGUAACGGGGAAUUAGGGUUCGAUUCCGGAGAAGGAGCCUGAGAAACGGCUACUACAUCUAAGGAAGGCAGCAGGCGCGUAAAUUACCCAAUCCUGACUCAGGGAGGUAGUGACAAGAUAUAACGACGCGACUAAAAAUCGCGAUUGUAGUGAGGGUAUUCUAAACCGAACCACUAGUACGAUUGGAGGGCAAGUCUGGUGCCAGCAGCCGCGGUAAUUCCAGCUCCAAUAGCGUAUAUUAAAGUUGUUGCAGUUAGAAAGCUCGUAGUUGGAUUUCAAGGGAAGCAACGUGAUCCACGUUGCCCCCUACCAGUCUUUGACUGUUACUGUGAGAAAAUUAGAGUGUUUCAAGCAGGCUGUUGCAGGAAUACAUUAGCAUGGAAUAACGAAUGUGUCUAGAAUCUUGGUUAAUUCUAGAUUACGAUUAAUAGGGACAGUUGGGGGCAUUAGUAUUUAAUUGUCAGAGGUGAAAUUCUUGGAUUUGUUAAAGACUAACGUAUGCGAAAGCAUUUGCCAAGGAUGUUUUCA